GAUCAAGGCGGCCGCGGCGCCUCUCGCGCGCUGAGCCGCGGGCGCCCGGCGGGCACCGGGAGCGGCUCCCGGGGCGGGCGGCGACCCCCGGCCAGCGACCGGCCCGCGGCCACCGCCCGCCUGCCACCCACCCACCGACCGACCGUCCGAUCGCGGCGGUGGCGACCCCGACGCCGUGCAGGGAUCUCUGCAGACAGAGCUGCUGUGUUCACCUGGGAGCUGUUAGACCUCUGCAAAACAAGAGAUCUUGCCAAGGAGCUACGUGGGACAACCAAUGUUUCCCUUUGGUCCUGGUUGCUGCUGCAACAGCCUUGUGUGAGUAAGGGCUGGGGUGGAUUUGGUGAAGGUGUGUGUUUGCAGCUCCUGCCCACCCUCCUCCUCCCCUUCCCCUCUCUGUCCUGGGGCAGAGCACGACCAGUGGUCUCCUGGGAAUGAAAAUGUUCAGGCUUCUUAGAGAUGCAGAGUGAAAUGUUUAUAUGAGAGACCAUGUCAGCAGCUGCAUGUUUUAUCCAAGCAAGCAAGUCCAGAAAUGUUUAUAGAAACUGGCAGCACUAAAUCGGGACAGUUGGUCACUAAUCUUUGCAAA
RNAcentral lists this long non-coding RNA (586 nucleotides) under Taeniopygia guttata (zebra finch). RNAcentral's name for it is "lncRNA (ENSTGUG00000019335.1)". The record is from RNAcentral. Lineage: Eukaryota; Metazoa; Chordata; Aves; Passeriformes; Estrildidae.